This 253-nucleotide ribosomal RNA is filed under the name uncultured bacterium. RNAcentral describes it as "partial 16S ribosomal RNA". It matches the Rfam family "Bacterial small subunit ribosomal RNA", at positions 524 to 776 of the family's 1533-position model. The record is from RNAcentral.
GACAGAGGCCCCAAGCGUUAGGCGGAAUCACUGGGCUUAAAGCGUGUGUAGGCGGAUCGUUAAGUGUCUUGUGAAAUCCCACGGCUCAUCCGUGGAACUGCUGGGCAUACUGGCGAUCUUGGGCCAACUAGGGGCAGCCGGAACAAGCGGUGGAGCGGUGAAAUGCGUAGAUAUCGCUUGGAACGCCGAAGGUGAAAACAGGCUGCUGGGGUUGUGCCGACGCUGAGACACGAAAGCCAGGGGAGCAAACGGG